AAGUUCGACUUCCGAUACCAAUACCGAUACUAACAACAUGUCAUGCGCAUGCUCUCUGCUCGCAAGAAGCACAAGCACAAGGACAAGUGUAUUGGAAGUCACCACUACCGAAGUCGGCCUUGUAUUGGAAGUCGGGGGAAUUGUAAGAUAAACUCAUAUAAAUCGGAUAUUUCAUAAUUUUUACGAUAAACAUGUAAACUAUUUGUUUAUUAGCAUCGUCUGAGUCGUGUUUUAGUCGGAAUUUU
Molecule: non-coding RNA, 245 nt
Organism: Paramuricea clavata
Lineage: Eukaryota; Metazoa; Cnidaria; Anthozoa; Malacalcyonacea; Plexauridae
Source: the annotation of a GenBank genome assembly